GGGUGGGGUGGUUUGGCAGCUGUAUUCCCAAUAAACCAAUAAACCAAAGAACUUGAGGCGACAAGCAGGAAAAGGGUGUCUUCCUGGUCAUUUGGAUAAGUCAAAUUUCACUGAAGAAAGGAAGAGUAACUGCUUGCUGUGCUAAUAAGUGAAUAAAGAUGAGGAAAGGCGUCAUACAAAUUGUUAAAGAAAGGUAAGAACACACACAGGGAUUAAAUCACCUGAGAAGGCAUCAACAACACUGAUUGUUUUUAAUGGACACAUGAGGAGGCAUGUUUCUGUUUUCCAAGUAAGUAUCUGGAAGGAAAAGUUCAGUGCAGCAGUAGGAGUUGUUAUUACAGAUUGAUUUAUGGAUGCAGGGGAGGAUGUACUUAAGGAUCUCUGUUUGCUUCCUGUUGGCAGCUUCAUAUGAUGCAGUCCAUUAAUUUUUGAAGGCUCCAGUCCUGUUGGCUUGAAAGUAUCUUGGUUUUUUCAUGUUGAUUGGUAAAGCUUUUCAUGCCUGGGCUUGGUCUUGACUCCUUUAGGGGCUCAUUAUCUGUCUUUGGGGCGUCUCCUCUUGGGGAUAUCUUUUGGAAUACAGGAGAAGCCUUGGUGGCUUCAGUAAAGGACCAAAAGACAUUUAAUCUUUGUUUGAGAGCUCAAAUGCCAGAGAAGCUACCACAGGCCUUAUUU
This is a long non-coding RNA of Lepidothrix coronata (blue-crowned manakin), 672 nucleotides long. RefSeq lists it as uncharacterized. The transcript has 3 exons. The record is from RefSeq and is a predicted model, not a curated record. Lineage: Eukaryota; Metazoa; Chordata; Aves; Passeriformes; Pipridae.